RNAcentral lists this ribosomal RNA (793 nucleotides) under uncultured bacterium. Its description in RNAcentral is "bacterial SSU rRNA". It matches the Rfam family "Bacterial small subunit ribosomal RNA", at positions 60 to 847 of the family's 1533-position model. The record is from RNAcentral.
AGUCGAGGGGCAGCGAGGGUAUAGCAAUAUUACCUGUCGGCGACCGGCUCACGGGUGCGUAACGCGUAUGCAACCUACCAUCAACAGGGGGAUAACACUGAGAAAUUGGUACUAAUACCCCAUAAUAUCUCAUGCGGCAUCGCAUGGGGUUGAAAACUCCGGUGGUUGAUGAUGGGCAUGCGUUGUAUUAGCUGGUUGGUGAGGUAACGGCUCACCAAGGCGACGAUACAUAGGGGGACUGAGAGGUUAACCCCCCACAUUGGUACUGAGACACGGACCAAACUCCUACGGGAGGCAGCAGUGAGGAAUAUUGGUCAAUGGACGCAAGUCUGAACCAGCCAUGCCGCGUGCAGGAUGACGGCUCUAUGAGUUGUAAACUGCUUUUGUACGAGGGUAAACCCCGAUACGUGUAUCGGGUUGAAAGUAUCGUACGAAUAAGGAUCGGCUAACUCCGUGCCAGCAGCCGCGGUAAUACGGAGGAUCCGAGCGUUAUCCGGAUUUAUUGGGUUUAAAGGGUGCGUAGGCGGUUUGAUAAGUUAGAGGUGAAAUGUCGGGGCUCAACCCCGAAACUGCCUCUAAUACUGUUGGACUAGAGAAUAGUUGCGGUAGGCGGAAUGUAUGGUGUAGCGGUGAAAUGCUUAGAGAUCAUACAGAACACCGAUUGCGAAGGCAGCUUACCAAACUAUAUCUGACGUUGAGGCACGAAAGCGUGGGUAGCAAACAGGAUUAGAUACCCUGGUAGUCCACGCAGUANACGAUGAUAACUCGUUGNCGGCGAUACACAGUCGGUGAC